UAAGCGGAGGAAAAGAAACUAACAAGGAUUCCCCUAGUAACGGCGAGUGAAGUGGGAAAAGCUCAACUUUGAAAUCUGGCAGCUUCGCUGUCCGAGUUGUAGUCUCGAGAAGUGUUUUCCGCGCUGGACCAUGUAUGAGUCUGUUGGAAUACAGCGUCAUAGAGGGUGAGAACCCCGUUCAUGACAUGCCUUCCAGUGCUUUGUGAUACACUUUCGAUGAGUCGAGUUGUUUGGGAAUGCAGCUCAAAAUGGGUGGUAAAUUCCAUCUAAAGCUAAAUAUUGGGGAGAGACCGAUAGCAAACAAGUACCGUGAGGGAAAGAUGAAAAGCACUUUGGAAAGAGAGUUAACAGUACGUGAAAUUGUCGAAAGGGAAACGCUUGAAGUCAGACGUGCGUAGUGCCUUCGGGUGCUGUUGCAGGCCAGCAUCAGUUUUUCGAGCCGGAUAAAGGUGGGAGAAAGGUAGCAGUCUCGGCUGUGUUAUAGCCUCCCACUGAAUACGGAUUGUGAGACUGAGGAAUGCGAUUCUAGGAUGCUGGUGAAAUGGCUUUAAACGACCCGUCUUGAAACACG
RNAcentral lists this ribosomal RNA (571 nucleotides) under Sakaguchia oryzae. RNAcentral's name for it is "eukaryotic LSU rRNA". It matches the Rfam family "Eukaryotic large subunit ribosomal RNA", at positions 47 to 663 of the family's 3401-position model. Lineage: Eukaryota; Fungi; Basidiomycota; Cystobasidiomycetes; Sakaguchiales; Sakaguchiaceae. The record is from RNAcentral.